CUUUAUGGCUUUGGUGGCUAAGAAUCAAGGUUGAGAUUUUGAAAAUAAUUUUGAAUUUUGCUGAAAAUCAGAUAUGCUAAAAAAAGAAAAAACUUCUCAGUACCCAAGUGUCUACAUAUUUAAUUAUCUCUACAAUUCUUAUGUGGAAUAAGAAAUUUUUAUUGAUGCCCUUACUAUAUUUGAGAUCAUCUAUGACAAUCUCAGAGUAGAAGUGUUCAGCUAUAGAGAAUUCAAUAAAGCUUCCCUUUUCAAACGUAUGCAUUGCAUUUGGAGUGUGUGUUAAGAAAAUUAGAGCCUUAGCAAAUCAGAUGACCUCUCGGUGAAAGUGAAAGUUAUAAAACUAGUGAACAAA
Molecule: long non-coding RNA, 352 nt
Filed under: Homo sapiens (human)
Lineage: Eukaryota; Metazoa; Chordata; Mammalia; Primates; Hominidae
Description: non-protein coding lnc-KLF14-3:2
Source: RNAcentral